GACGAACGCUGGCGGCGUGCUUAACACAUGCAAGUCGAACGAAGUGGCGAACGGGUGAGUAACGCGUAAUCAACCUGCACUUCAGAGGGGGACAACAGUGGGAAACGACUGCUAAUACCGCAUACUGAAGGAGGGGAUUGCGUCGGAUUAGCUAGUUGGAGGGGUAACGGCCCACCAAGGCGAUGACCAGUAGCCGGUCUGAUAGGAUGAACGGCCACAUUGGGACUGAGACACGGCCCAGACUCCUACGGGAGGCAGCAGUGGGGAAUCUUCCGCAAUGGACGAAAGUCUGACAGAGCAACGCCGCGUGAGUGAUGACGGCCUUCGGGUUGUAAAGGACUUUUGUCAGGGAAGCGGUACCUGAAGAAUAAGCACCGGCUAACUACGUGCCAGCAGCCGCGGUAAUAC
This 408-nucleotide ribosomal RNA is filed under the name uncultured bacterium. RNAcentral describes it as "partial 16S ribosomal RNA". It matches the Rfam family "Bacterial small subunit ribosomal RNA", at positions 28 to 526 of the family's 1533-position model. The record is from RNAcentral.